CAGUCGCCGCGGUAAAACGGAGGGUGCAAGCGUUAAUCGGAAUUACUGGGCGUAAAGCGCACGCAGGCGGUCUGACAAGUCAGAUGUGAAAUCCCCGGGCUUAACCUGGGAACUGCAUUUGAAACUGUCAGGCUGGAGUCUUGUAGAGGGGGGUGGAAUUCCAGGUGUAGCGGUGAAAUGCGUAGAGAUCUGGAGGAAUACCGGUGGCGAAGGCGGCUUACUGGCUCAUUCUAGACGCUGAGGUGCGAAAGCGUGGGGAGCAAACAGGAUUAGAUACCCCGGUAGUCCCUGUCUCUUAUAA
Molecule: ribosomal RNA, 301 nt
Filed under: uncultured bacterium
Lineage: Bacteria
Description: partial 16S ribosomal RNA
Rfam family: Bacterial small subunit ribosomal RNA
Source: RNAcentral